Homo sapiens (human) is the source of this 287-nucleotide long non-coding RNA. The record is from Ensembl. NCBI's taxonomy places the organism in Eukaryota, Metazoa, Chordata, Mammalia, Primates, Hominidae.
UCCACCAAGAGCUGAUUUAGGCAAAAUCUCCAGAAAAACAUAAAGCUUCAAUAAUGAAUAAAAAAGACCAGAGGAUGCAAAAUUCCACAGGAAUGUCAGAUUUUAUACAACCUCAUAGAGUAAAUGGGAGCAAAGUUAGCAAGAGGUAGAUUGAUUAAGAGUAAUUAUGAAGGGAUGAAAUACCCUCUGACUCUGAAGACACUAAUGUAUUAAUCUGUGGAAUAAGAAAGAACAUACCAGAGGCCUCAUCUGAUGCAACACAGUGCUUACCCUCCUCGGAAUCGAUC